GUCUAAAUAUUUUACUUCUGGAAUACUGUCAAUUAAGUUGGAUGCAAGGAAUGCUCAAGUUUCUGUUGACGAAUUCAUGAUGGGUUCGGUAUAGAAAUGUAGAUAUGUUUUUGGGUGUAUUGCAGAUGAGCUUGGUCCUGGUACACCAGAUUGUUUUAUUGGUUAGAUGUAUUGCAGAUGAUAUUUAGUCCUGAUACAUCUAUGUAUAUGUAUUUGGUGUAUUGCAGUUGACUAAGGAUCCUGGUGCACCAUAUGUAGAACUUUUCUAGUUUUAAAAAAUUAAUUUUUGUAUUCCGUUAUAUACAUUUUUCAGAUAUAUUUAAAACGGGAAGGUGGUCCGAUAGUGCAAGGAUUGAAGAUCAGCGAUUACAACAGCUACGGGACCUUUUACCAACUUUCUGUCUUAAAUCAAGAGCAGGCAAUACAUCGAGUCAAUACAGAUAGGAAGAUAAAGAAGAUAUGAAUAUUGUAUAUAGUUGAAAUAAUUAAACUGCACUAUCAGAGCGCUUCACAUCCUAU
Ostrea edulis (European flat oyster) is the source of this 519-nucleotide long non-coding RNA. RefSeq lists it as uncharacterized. The transcript is spliced from 2 exons. The record is from RefSeq and is a predicted model, not a curated record. Lineage: Eukaryota; Metazoa; Mollusca; Bivalvia; Ostreida; Ostreidae.